This 3726-nucleotide ribosomal RNA is filed under the name Triticum aestivum (bread wheat). RNAcentral's name for it is "partial small subunit ribosomal RNA". The record is from RNAcentral. Lineage: Eukaryota; Viridiplantae; Streptophyta; Magnoliopsida; Poales; Poaceae.
GGCGGUGUCUUAUCUGCUUCCAUUGAUUUCGUGAUGCUCCUCCUUUUGCUGUGGUGUUCUCCGAGCCUUGUGCCUCCCUUCUUCCCACAACGAGGUUUGCUUGCCAGUAUCCUUUCACCAUGUCUUCAUUUCGCUGCAUUUCUGUAGGAUCCUGCUAGAUCUGGCUUAAAGGUGUGCUUGUUCCCGUGUGUAGUGGUGGAUCCUAGCUCUUUUAGGUUGUUUGUGGUGGUUCCUAGAUGUCUGAUUUUUGUUGCAGAUGGAGCAACAUAUAGUAGAUGUAGAUGCAGCAACACCUGAUUCAAUAUAGUUGUAGGGUUUGGUUCCCUUAUGCCUAUUUUUUAUUUAUGCUCCCGAAUGUUUCUGUAGUUGUUCAUGUGCCCCUAUAUGUGUACAACCCCUAGAUGUGUGGAUGUAAAUGUUGAUUUAGCUCGUAGAUGUUUCGACUGUAUGUGUGUACGAUGCCAGUUGUUUUUGUCAGUGAGUUGGGCUGUAACUUUGGGCGAAAUCGGAGUGAUUGGGACUGAAUUUUACCAGUUAAGCGUCAGUGAUUCUGGACUGUAGUUUCAAGUUUUAUCAGUCCAUCUUACUCUGUAAUUUUUGAGUGCUUUUGUGUCUGUCUUUGCAACUUCAGUGAUGUGUAAGUUUCAGUGAUCUACUCUGUAAUAUUUGAGUGCUUUUGUCUCUGGCUUUGUAACUUCAGUAAUGUGUAAGUUUGAGUGAUCUACUCUAAAUUUUCCACUUGUUUUCCAGCACCUAUUACACUCAGUAUCAGUGUAACUACAGUCUGAAUUGUAUUGUGAAUUAACUCUGGGCUGCAAGUUUGUAUGUCCCUUUUUAUCCUUUGCUAGCUUUUGUUGUACAUCCCUUCGUUGUCGUAGCUAGUGCGUUCUGCUAGCAAAUUUCAGCUCUGUUCUUUGUGUUUCUGUGAAACAGAAUGUCCUUUUCAUUUUCGGCUUUGUAAAUGUUUGAUUGCUCUAUCUGAAAUCCCUGUUUUCUUAGUGGAUUUAUAGUGUGUUUUCUGAGUGUUCUACACUGUAAUUCUUAGUGGAUUUACAGUGUAAUUUCUUAGCGGAUUUACACUGUAAUUCCUUAGCGAAUUUACACCGUAAUUUUAGGUGGAUUUUUUUACUAGAUUUACACUGUAAUUUUCAGUGAAUUUACACUGUAUUUUUAGUGGAUUUAUACUGUAAUUUGCAAUGGAUCUACACUGUAAUUCUUAGUGGAUUUACUCUGUAGUUUUCAGUUGAUCUUUCGUUGUAAUCCUAUAAGAAUUACACUGUAUCUCUUGAUUUUUACAGUGUAAUUCUUAGUGGAGUUACACUGUAAUCCUUAGUGUUUUUGUAGUGACUAUUAGUUAUUCUUGGAUUACCUUGUAUUUACACUGUAGCUCUUGAUUUUACGGUGUAAUUUUCAGUGUAUUUACACUGUAAUUCUUAGUGUAUUUUUGGCUAGAGUCUGUUAGCGGGGUUUUACCCUUGUAAUCUGCAUUUGACUAGGGACUAUUAUGUGGAUUAUUUUUGUAUUAUCUUUAGUAGAUCUUAUAGUGUAAUUCUUAUUGUAUUUACAGUGUAACUCUCAGUGGGCUUACACUGUAAUUUUUCAGUUGAUUCUCCUCUUAGUGAAUUUGACUAGGACUGUUAGUUGGUUUUUACCCUUGUACUCUGCAGUUGAGUAGGGUCUAUUAUGUGGAUUUUUAGGUCUGAACAUUUUUCAGGUAGCCAAUCUCUAUCUUGUUUGUAAUUUACUUUCAUGCAUUUGGUUGUUUCUUUAUUUUAUUUUUUUACCGUAAUGUCAUUUUGGUUUUGCUGUGUAGGUUGCAAGUCUCUUGCUCUUGACUCUACAAAGAAAGCAUCAAAUGAUUCGUUAGUUGGUAAAUCUGCUGGUUAUAUUUAGUCAAACGAGGGUACAAAGGAUGGUCCAAAUUUGGUUUCUUGUGUGUGCCAUGUAGUAUCAGUGCUUAACUUUUUUCUUUAGUUUCAGUGCGAUCUUCAUAGUAAUUACAUUUAAAAGAUCAUAGUAAUACUAAGUUCAAGUGACAGUAAGUUGCCCUUUUAUAAAGUUCCAAAGUUUCAAAUAUUCAAUCAUAGUGUCAUUUUGGUUUCUGAGCAGGAACAUAUUGGUUUCUCUAUAUAAUACACUGUAUUUUACACUGUAGUUCCAGUGGUCUAGCACUGGAAUUACAGUUUGCUUACACUGUAAUUCCAGUGGUCUAGAGAUGUAAUUCAAACUGUAAUUACAAAGGAUUUUUCACCCUGGUCCACUACUGUAAUUUCUAUUGCUGUCCACUGAAAUUUUAGUGGUCUAGUAUUGUAACUACAGUUUGUCUGUCACUGUAAAUUCCUUAUCUGCCAGUGUAAUUUAGUUUCACAUGUUAUUUUUCUGUUCCUCUGUAACCAUAGUGUAAAAACACUUGUUAGAUUUUGCUUUUGUGUAGGAUCUACUCAUCUGUAUAUGUUCUUAUUGCUUUUUCUAGUGAUCUAUUGAUUUUGAGUUUAUAACAAGAGUGCUCUGUGGAUUCUGAUCUGCUCUUUCGCUUUGCUAGCAACAUGUUGCUGCUCAAGGUAGAACAAUAUUUUUUGCAUUAGCUAAUGAACGUUUUUGCAGGAUUUCUUUCCCUGCUGUUUUAUAUUUAAAUUUCACAAUGAUAGUACCUUGUACAUCAUUUGCGCCUGAAGUAGUUGAGUAAAAGAGUAUGCCCUGCUCUGUUAUUUUGUUAAGAAUCAAGUUAGAAAAGCAUGGUUGAAUAUGUUUGUUCAUUUUUUUAGUUUAAAAAAAAAGCAAUACAGAAACAAUACAAAAAGAGUAGAGCUUUUGUGUUUCAUGAUCUACUCUUUCAUGAUUUGUUACUGGUUUUUUUACUCUCUAUCUUUUUAAUUUCAGUCGUACUUCCCUAUUGGUCUCGAUGGUCGCUUUUCGUUUGUCGUGUGUAUCGAAGAUAGAGCUUUUGUGUUUCUUGACUCAGCGUUUGGAGAGAACUCAAUGUAUCAUAGAGAUAUCUAUGAUGAGCUGGUGAUUUUUCUUGCAUGAUUGUGGUGUCUUCACUCUGAAGUAUAUGGAGAUCUUCACACCAAGAACUUAGAUGGCAAAUCUUUUCUCCAAUGUAGACAUUCGAAAUCUUAGGAUCAAAUAUGUGAAUGACAUGUUUUUCAGCCCCUUGAACAGCUGCGACAAAUCUUUUGUCACUGCUUUCUUUGGCAAUUUAUGUUCUUAUUUUCCUUGUCCUCUAUUUCAUUUUCUUUUCUCCUUAUUAGCUUUUUUUUCUUUGCCUAUUCUGGUCUCUUUGAUUUUUUUUUGUGUAGGGAGGCAAUGCCAAGUGAGGUUCAGCAUGUGCACAGUCCUAGCUCAAUUGGUGGAUGAGUUCCCCUUUUGAGUAGCAUGUAACAUAGAACCACUAGUGCAAAUCAUUUGGAUUAUUGGUGGAUUUACAAGGUCUUUUUUAGUGCAUUUAAAGUGGCAUCUUUAAUGCAUCUUGCACUGUAAUUCUUAGUGGUUAAUCUUAACAGUUUUUUCAGUGCAAACCAUUUGGAUUGUUGGUAGAUUUACAGUGUCAUUUUAGUGGAUUUUACAGUGUAAUUUUAAUGCAUCUUACACUGUAAUUCUUAGUGGGCAUGAUAGAAAGUAUUGUCGAUUUUAGUGGAUUUUACAGCAAAUUUCUUGGUGGUAAUAUUAUUGUAAUUAUACUUCUUUGUCAAUGUAAUUUUUAGGUGACAUCAUCUUGGUCCUUUC